GGAACUGUUGCUCAGUGGAAAAGCCUUUGCUGUGAAUGCAGAAGGUUCUAGGUUCAAUCCCUGGCAUUUUCA
RNAcentral lists this transfer RNA (72 nucleotides) under Sphaerodactylus townsendi. Its description in RNAcentral is "tRNA-Ser". It matches the Rfam family "tRNA". From Rfam's summary of the family: Transfer RNA (tRNA) molecules are approximately 80 nucleotides in length. Lineage: Eukaryota; Metazoa; Chordata; Lepidosauria; Squamata; Sphaerodactylidae. The record is from RNAcentral.